RNAcentral lists this ribosomal RNA (167 nucleotides) under Tomentella tedersooi. RNAcentral's name for it is "partial 28S ribosomal RNA". It matches the Rfam family "Eukaryotic large subunit ribosomal RNA", at positions 1 to 164 of the family's 3401-position model. Lineage: Eukaryota; Fungi; Basidiomycota; Agaricomycetes; Thelephorales; Thelephoraceae. The record is from RNAcentral.
UGAUCUCAAAUCAGGCAGGACUACCCGCUGAACUUAAGCAUAUCAAUAAGCGGAGGAAAAGAAACUAACAAGGAUUCCCCUAGUAACUGCGAGUGAAGCGGGAAGAGCUCAAAUUUUAAAUCUGGCGUGCCUCUGGUCGUCCGAGUUGUAGUCUGGAGAAGCGUUUU